Molecule: ribosomal RNA, 462 nt
Filed under: uncultured bacterium
Lineage: Bacteria
Description: partial 16S ribosomal RNA
Rfam family: Bacterial small subunit ribosomal RNA
Source: RNAcentral
GACGAACGCUGGCGGCGUGCUUAACACAUGCAAGUCGAACGGAAAGGCCCUUCGGGGUCCUCGAGUGGCGAACGGGUGCGUAACACGUGGGUGAUCUGCCCUGCACUUUGGGAUAAGCCUGGGAAACUGGGUCUAAUACCGAAUAGGACCACGCGCUUCAUGGUGUGUGGUGGAAAGCUUUUGCGGUGUGGGAUGGGCCCGCGGCCUAUCAGCUUGUUGGUGGGGUAAUGGCCUACCAAGGCGACGACGGGUAGCCGGCCUGAGAGGGUGACCGGCCACACUGGGACUGAGAUACGGCCCAGACUCCUACGGGAGGCAGCAGGGGGGAAUAUUGCACAAUGGGCGCAAGCCUGAUGCAGCGACGCCGCGUGAGGGAUGACGGCCUUCGGGUUGUAAACCGCUUUCACCAGGGACGAAGCGUAAGUGACGGUACCUGGAGAAGAAGCACCGGCGAACUACGUG